Molecule: long non-coding RNA, 228 nt
Filed under: Gossypium raimondii (Peruvian cotton)
Lineage: Eukaryota; Viridiplantae; Streptophyta; Magnoliopsida; Malvales; Malvaceae
Description: long non-coding RNA (GRAI_LNC004397)
Source: RNAcentral
UUCAUCACUGUAAUCAGGGGGGAUUUUUCUUUUAUUUUUUCUUUUCGGCAAAAGCCGAGUUUGCUGUAAAAGAAGAAGAGUUUUCUCUUCUUUCGGUUUCCUAUGAACAUUAAGAUAAAUAAGAAAACCAAAACAGAUUUUUGAAGGUGACUUUUUCUUUUUUACGUUUCUUGCUUGUUUUAUUUUAUUUUUUUAUUUUAUCUUUUACAUAAGAAAUACGAAAUAAAA